Long non-coding RNA from Sciurus carolinensis (gray squirrel), 260 nucleotides. RefSeq lists it as uncharacterized. The transcript has 3 exons. The record is from RefSeq and is a predicted model, not a curated record. Lineage: Eukaryota; Metazoa; Chordata; Mammalia; Rodentia; Sciuridae.
CUCUUGGCCGGGCCCCUGCAGGAGCCAUUGCGGGCGCCCGAGUUUCUGAGAGUGUGGUGCACCGUGAGCUGCUACAGGCCCUCUCCUUUGGCUGCUGACCACCCAGUGAAGAGUCCCACAGGCCAUCUGGGGUCGCAGAGAUUGUUGUUGAGGCCUGGGUGGUCACUUCUCAUUUCCUUAUGAUCUGUUCCUUCUUACUUCACAUUCCUGACACUGUGAUUAACUUCUGGUGUUAGCAAGCAUGAUUAUCUGAAACAAGG